This is a long non-coding RNA of Balaenoptera acutorostrata (minke whale), 5050 nucleotides long. RefSeq lists it as uncharacterized. NCBI's taxonomy places the organism in Eukaryota, Metazoa, Chordata, Mammalia, Artiodactyla, Balaenopteridae. The record is from RefSeq and is a predicted model, not a curated record. The transcript is spliced from 7 exons.
AUGCCAAGGGAGACUUACCUAGUGCUGUGACAAAAAGAAAAAUAAACCUGACAACUUUCAUCUCUUCACUAUGAAACCAAAGUAUAUCUACAAGAAAACCAAGGCUUCCUUUUUUUUUCUAGCUGAGAGAAAACAGAUUGCAUUUCUUGUGGGAAGUUCUUAGAGGCACCCGCACGUUGUCAGCCACUUUCUGAAGUCACAAACAAGAUCAAACAACAUCCUGCGAAGCCCUGCAUAUAGUGAAAGAAAAACUACUCCUGUCUCUUGCAGGGAGAUCCCCAGGCAAAAGGAGAAACCUGGCCUGCCUCUCUUACUUCUUGUGACUUUGUGGCUCCUCCCAUCAAGAAAUCGAGUCUACUUCUUUACCCUUUGGAUCUGCGCUUGGCAGGAUGAGAACACCUGGACCCAGAGAAGUUACGCAAAGUGCUCAAGCUCACACAAAGUGUAAGUAGCAGAUCAAGAGAUCACGCCAGGGCAGUUAAUUCCGGACAAGUCAACACUGGCUAAGAGAAUGAGAUCACAUCGUGAAAAUGAGGCUGCUGAAACCCACCCCUGUGGUUAAGGAAGUCUGAUAAGGAAACCAUUAUGACUUUGGCAGAAACCCCAGUGGUACCUACCACAAUCACUACAGUCUGAUGCUGUGAUGCAGAGAUGAACAGCAAAAUGACUCCAGAAGAGUGAUGCAUUCUACCUACAACUCUUCCCUUGUAUCAUGUCUGAAAUGCAUGAAAUGCAUACGCACCAGCACAGAAUUUAAAACUGACCACUGAAAAUCUUACAGUGUUUCAGGCACUUUACUUGGCAAUGGAGAAAUCAGGAGUAUGACAGGACCUCUGAUCUUAAGGAAUCCAUUAUCUGUGAGAAUUGCCAAAGCCUCUGGAGUUGUUCAGGCCAAGAUACUCGUCCAUCUGGUUUGAGGACUCCAGCCCUGAAUGGAUGUCCCACUAUAAAGAGGAAAUCUCAGGCUGGUAUGCCAAUGGAAAAAAUGCUGACUCAGACAACACUGUGGAAUGCUGCUUGAUGAACUGGUGCCAGCUGAAGGUAGCAGGCAGCUUCCAUUAGCUAAAUAAAGAAUAAACAACCCUGAAGAGUUAGCUAUGAAUAUUAUGGAAAGAUAAGGCCUAAGGUAUUUCAGGUCUUUCAACACCCAGCAAGCCUAAGGAAAAUCUCUUUGGCUGAAAGUAAGGAUAUUCUCCACCCAACACAUACACGGCCUCUUACAUCCUCUCCUGGUCCCUCAUCUCAUGAAUUCCUAGAUUUUGUCAUGUACCAGCUGCUCUGAUGGCAACACCACUGAGCGUUGAUUUCAAAUGUAAACCAUAAAAAAAAAGAUAGAAAAUUAUAAAGAGUAAAAACAAGAAAAAUAUACAUUAAAAGCCUAUUCUCUUCCAGUCACUGUGUUUAAAGUUUAAACUUUCACAUGCAUUAUUAGGUUUAUUUAAUCUUCACAACAUUAGAAAGUAGCCCUGGAGGGAGGAGAGAAAAUGGCAGAAGAGUAAGACGCGGAGAUCACCUUCCUUCCCACAGAUACAGUAGAAAUACAUCUACACGUGGAACUGCUCCUACAGAACACCCACUGAACGCUGGCAGAAAACGUCCGACCUCCAAAAAGGCAAGAAACUCCCCCCGUACUUGGGUAGGGCAAAAGAAAAAAGAAAUAACAGAGACAAAAGAAUAGGGACGGCACCUGCACCAGUGGGAGGGAGCUGUGAAGGAGGAAAGGUUUCCACGCACUAGGAAGCCCCUUCGCGGACAGAGACUGCGGGUGGCAGAGGGGGGAAGCUUCGGAGCCACGGAGGAGAGCGCAGCCACAGAGGUGCGGAGGGCAAAGCGGAGAGGUUCCCGCACGGAGGAUCAGUGCCGACCAGCACUCACCAGCCCGAGAGGCUUGUCUGCUCAGCCGCCGGGGUGGGCGGGGCUGGGAGCUGAGGCUCGGGCUGCGGUCGGAUUGCAGGGAGAGGACUGGGGUUGGCGGCGUGAACACAGCCUGAAGGGGUUAGCGCACCACAGCUAGCCGGGAGGGAGUCCGGGGAAAAAGUCUGCAGCUGCCGAAGAGGCAAGAGACUUUUUCUUGCCUCUGUGUUUCCUGGUGCGCAAGGAGAGGGGAUUCAGAGCGCCGCCUAAACGAACUCCAGAGAAGGGCGCGAGCCGCGGCUAUCAGCGCGGACCCCACAGCAACAGGGUCGCAGAGGGAAAAACGGAGAGACUCCCGCACAGAGGCUCGGCGCCGAGUAGCGCUCACCAGCCCGAGAGGUUUGUCUGCUCACCCGCCGGGGCGGGCGGGGCUGGGAGCUGAGGCUCAGGCUUCGGUCGGAUCGCAGGGAGACGACUGGGGCUGGCGGCGUGAACACAGCCUGAAGGGGUUGGCGCACCACAGCUGGCUGGGAGGGAGACCGGGGAAACGUCUGCAGCUGCCGAAGAGGCAAGAGACUUUUUCUUGCCUCUUUGUUUCGCUGCGCGCAAGGAGAGGGGAUUCAGAGCGCCACUUAAACGAACUCCAGAGAAGGGCGUGAGCCGCGGCGAUCAGCGCGGAUCCCAGAGACGGGCGUGAGACGCUGGGGCUGCUGCUGCCGCCUCCAAAAAGCCUGUGUGCGAGCACAGGUCACUCUCCACACCGCCCCUCCCGGUAGCCUGUGCAGCCCGCCACUGCCAGGGUCCCGGGAUCCGGGGACAACAUCCCCGGGAGAACGCACUGCGCGCCUCAGGAUGCUGCAACGUCACGCCGGCCUCGGCCGCCGCAGGCUCGCCCCGCCUCCUCUGUACCCCUCCCUCCCCGCGGCCUGGGUGAGCCAGAGCCCCCGAAGCAGCUGCUCCUCUAACCCCGUCCUGUCUGGGCGGGGAACAGACGCCCUCAGGCGACCUACACACAGAGGCGGAUCCAAAUCCAAAGCUGAACCCCAGGAGCUGUGCGAACAGGGACAAGUAGGGGAAAUCUCUCCCAGCAGCCUCAGAAGCAGCGGAUUAAAGCUCCACAAACAACUUGAUGUGCCUGCACCUGUUGAAUACCUGAAUAGACAACGAAUCAGCCCAAAUUCAGGAGGUGGACUCUGGGAGCAGGAGAUAUUAAUUUUUCCCCUUUUCCUUUUUUUGUGAGUGUAUAUGUAUAUGCUUCUGGGUGAGAUUUUGUCUGUAUAGCUUUGCUUUACAAUAGCUUUAUUUUACUUCACUAUAUUAUAGCCUCUUUCUUUCUUUCUUUCUUUCUAUUUUUUCUCCUUUUUACUCUGAGCCGUGUGGACAAAAGGCUCUUGGUGCUCCAGCCAGGCAUCAGGGCCGUGCCUCUGAGGUGGGAGAGCCAACUUCAGAACACUGGUCCACAAGAGACCUCCCAGCCCCACGUAAUACCAAACGGCAAAAAUCUCCCAGAGAUCUCCAUCUCAACAUCAAGACCCAGCUUCACUCAACGACCAGCAAGCUACAGUGCUGGACACCCUAUGCCAAACAACUAGCUAGACAGGAACACAACCCCAUCCAUUAGCAGAGAGGCUGCCUAAAAUCAUAAUAAGGCCACAGCCACCCCAAAAUACACCACCAGACGUGGACGUGCCCACCAGAAAGACAAGAUCCAGCCUCAUCCACCAGAAUUCAGGCACUAGUUCCCUCCACCAGGAAGCCUACACAACCCACUGAACCAACCUUAGCAACUGGGGACAGAUACCAAAAACAACGGGAACUACGAACCUGCAGCCUGUGAAAAGGAGACCCCAAACACAGUAAGAUAAGCAAAAUGAGACGACAGAAAAACACACAGCAGAUGAAGGAGCAGGGUCAAAACAUACCGGACUUCACAAAUGAAGAGGAAAUAGGUAGUCUACCUGAAAAAGAAUUCAGAAUAAUGAUAGUAAGGAUGAUCCAAAAUCUUGGAAAUAGAAUAGACAAAAUGCAAGAAACAUUUAACAAGGAUGUAGAAGAACUAAAGAGGAACCAAGCAAUGAUGAAAAACACAAGAAAUGAAAUUAAAAAUACUCUAGAUGGGAUCAAUAGUAGAAUAACUGAGGCAGAAGAAAGGAUAAGUGACCUGGAAGAUAAAAUGGUGGAAAUAACUACUACAGAGCAGGAUAAAGAAAAAAGAAUGAAAAGAACUGAGGACAGUCUCAGGGACCUCUGGGACAACAUUAAACGCACCAACAUUCGAAUUAUAGGGGUCCCAGAAGAAGAAGAGAAAAAGAAAGGGACUGAGAAAAUAUUUGAAGAGAUUAUAGUUGAAAACUUCCCUAAUAUGGGAAAGGAAAUAGUUAAUCAAGUCCUGGAAGCACAGAGAGUCCCAUACAGAAUAAACCCAAGGAGAAACACGCCAAGACACAUAUUAAUCAAACUGUCAAAAAUUAAAUAUAAGGAAAACAUAUUAAAGGCAGCAAGGGAAAAAAAACAAAUAACACACAAGGGAAUCCCCAUAAGGUUAACAUCUGAUCUAUCAGCAGAAACUCUGCAAGCCAGAAGGGAGUGGCAGGAUAUACUUAAAGUGAUGAAGGAGAAAAACCUACAACCAAGAUUACUCUACCCAGCAAGGACCUCAUUCAGAUUCGAUGGAGAAAUUAAAACCUUUACAGACAAGCAAAAGCUGAGAGAGUUCAGCACCACCAAACCAGCUUUACAACAAAUGCUAAAGGAACUUCUCUAGGCAAGAAACACAAGAGAAGGAAAACACCUACAAUAACAAACGCAAAAUAUUUAAGAAAAUGGGAAUAGGAACAUACAUAUCGAUAAUUACCUUGAAUGUAAAUGGAUUAAAUGCUCCCACCAAAAGACACAGGCUGGCUUAAUGGAUACAAAAACAAGACCCAUAUAUAUGCUGUCUACAAGAGACCCACUUCAGACCUAGAGACACAUACAGAUUGAAAGUGAGGGGAUGGAAAAAGAUAUUCCAUGCAAAUGGAAAUCAAAAGAAAGCUGGAGUAGCAAUUCUCAUAUCAGAAAAAAUAGACUUUAAAAUAAAGACUAUUACAAGAGACAAAGAAGGACACUAUAUAAUGAUCAAGGGAUCGAUCCAAGAGGAAGGUAUAACAAUUGUAAAUAUUUAUGCACCCAACAUAGGAGCACCUCAAUACAUAAG